CCUACGGGAGGCAGCAGUGAGGAAUAUUGGUCAAUGGACGAGAGUCUGAACCAGCCAAGUAGCGUGAAGGAUGACUGCCCUAUGGGUUGUAAACUUCUUUUAUAUGGGAAUAAAACAGGGUAUGCAUACCCUCUUGUAUGUACCAUAUGAAUAAGGAUCGGCUAACUCCGUGCCAGCAGCCGCGGUAAUACGGAGGAUCCGAGCGUUAUCCGGAUUUAUUGGGUUUAAAGGGAGCGUAGGUGGAUUGUUAAGUCAGUUGUGAAAGUUUGCGGCUCAACCGUAAAAUUGCAGUUGAUACUGGCAGUCGUGAGUACAGUAGAGGUGGGCGGAAUUCGUGGUGUAGCGGUGAAAUGCUUAGAGAUCACGAAGAACUCCGAUUGCGAAGGCAGCUCACUGGACUGCAACUGACACUGAUGCUCGAAAGUGUGGGUAUCAAACAGGAUUAGAUACCCUAGUAGUC
This 460-nucleotide ribosomal RNA is filed under the name uncultured bacterium. RNAcentral describes it as "partial 16S ribosomal RNA". It matches the Rfam family "Bacterial small subunit ribosomal RNA", at positions 338 to 795 of the family's 1533-position model. The record is from RNAcentral.